This 484-nucleotide ribosomal RNA is filed under the name uncultured bacterium. Its description in RNAcentral is "partial 16S ribosomal RNA". It matches the Rfam family "Bacterial small subunit ribosomal RNA", at positions 30 to 507 of the family's 1533-position model. The record is from RNAcentral.
AUUGAACGCUGGCGGCAGGCCUAACACAUGCAAGUCGAGCGGAUGAAGGGAGCUUGCUCCUGGAUUCAGCGGCGGACGGGUGAGUAAUGCCUAGGAAUCUGCCUGGUAGUGGGGGAUAACGUCCGGAAACGGGCGCUAAUAUCGUAUACGUCCUGAGGGAGAAAGUGGGGGAUCUUAGGACCUCACGCUAUCAGAUGAGCCUAGGUCGGAUUAGCUAGUUGGUGGGGUAAAGGCCUACCAAGGCGACGAUCCGUAACUGGUCUGAGAGGAUGAUCAGUCACACUGGAACUGAGACACGGUCCAGACUCCUACGGGAGGCAGCAGUGGGGAAUAUUGGACAAUGGGCGAAAGCCUGAUCCAGCCAUGCCGCGUGUGUGAAGAAGGUCUUCGGAUUGUAAAGCACUUUAAGUUGGGAGGAAGGGCAGUAAGUUAAUACCUUGCUGUUUUGACGUUACCAACAGAAUAAGCACCGGCUAACUUCGUG